This 87-nucleotide non-coding RNA is filed under the name Pseudomonas tolaasii NCPPB 2192. The record is from RNAcentral. Lineage: Bacteria; Pseudomonadati; Pseudomonadota; Gammaproteobacteria; Pseudomonadales; Pseudomonadaceae.
UGUGGGAGCUGGCUUGCCUGCGAUGCGGGCGCCUCGGUGGAUCAGGUGAACCGAGGUGAUGCGAUCGCAGGCAAGCCAGCUCCCACA